GACGAACGCUGGCGGCGUGCUUAACACAUGCAAGUCGAACGGUAAGGCCCUUCGGGGUACACGAGUGGCGAACGGGUGAGUAACACGUGGGUGAUCUGCCCUGCACUUCGGGAUAAGCCUGGGAAACUGGGUCUAAUACCGGAUAGGACUCCGGACUGCAUGGUCUGGGGUGGAAAGCUUUUGCGGUGUGGGAUGGGCCCGCGGCCUAUCAGCUUGUUGGUGGGGUGAUGGCCUACCAAGGCGACGACGGGGAGCCGGCCUGGGAGGUGACCGGCCACACGGGGAGUGAGAUACGGCCCAGACUCCUACGGGAGGCAGCAGUGGGGAAUAUUGCACAAUGGGCGCAAGCCUGAUGCAGCGACGCCGCGUGAGGGAUGACGGCCUUCGGGUUGUAAACCUCUUUCAGCAUCGACGAAGCGAAAGUGACGGUAGGUGCAGAAGAAGGACCGGCCAACUACGUGCCAGCCGCCGCCGUAA
RNAcentral lists this ribosomal RNA (477 nucleotides) under uncultured bacterium. Its description in RNAcentral is "partial 16S ribosomal RNA". It matches the Rfam family "Bacterial small subunit ribosomal RNA", at positions 28 to 523 of the family's 1533-position model. The record is from RNAcentral.